This 369-nucleotide ribosomal RNA is filed under the name uncultured Cenococcum. Its description in RNAcentral is "eukaryotic LSU rRNA". It matches the Rfam family "Eukaryotic large subunit ribosomal RNA", at positions 1 to 368 of the family's 3401-position model. The record is from RNAcentral. Lineage: Eukaryota; Fungi; Ascomycota; Dothideomycetes; Gloniales; Gloniaceae.
UUGACCUCGGAUCAGGCAGGGAUACCCGCUGAACUUAAGCAUAUCAAUAAGCGGAGGAAAAGAAACCAACAGGGAUUGCCUCAGUAACGGCGAGUGAAGCGGCAACAGCUCAAAUUUGAAAUCUGGCUCUUUUAGGGUCCGAGUUGUAAUUUGUAGAGGAUGCUUCGGCGUCGGCUCCGGUCUAAGUUCCUUGGAACAGGACGUCAUAGAGGGUGAGAAUCCCGUAUGUGAUCGGUUGCCCUUGCCAUGUGAAGCUCCUUCGACGAGUCGAGUUGUUUGGGAAUGCAGCUCUAAAUGGGAGGUAAAUUCUUCUAAGCUAAAUACUGGCCAGAGACCGAUAGCGCACAAGUAAAGUGAUCGAAAGAUGAA